Long non-coding RNA from Chinchilla lanigera (long-tailed chinchilla), 539 nucleotides. RefSeq lists it as uncharacterized. The record is from RefSeq and is a predicted model, not a curated record. Lineage: Eukaryota; Metazoa; Chordata; Mammalia; Rodentia; Chinchillidae. The transcript is spliced from 4 exons.
UUUUGUCCCAACAAGGAGAGAAAAGUAAUCAAGACACUGCCAAACCAGAAGACCUCACCAUGAAGAUAGCAGGGAAGGAAACUGUCUUACUGAGAAAGCACUCAGCAGAAAUCCCGUGUUCAGGCAGUCCCUGAGAGAUGACGGAGACAGACCAGACGUUCUCAGGGCACAUGAUGACAGGCCAGUCACCAAGCAAGAGGCCCUGACUGUCACACGGCCUUCAUAGACUAAUCCAGCUUUGAAGAAUUUCAAAGGGAUAUAAGGCCCCUCAUCACUAGGGACUCAUACCGUCCCAGUCACGGCAGAAGGAUACUGGGCUCUCAGAAGUGGAGCCUGAACAAUCAGUACCACAGGAAUUCACAGGACGUAGACUGGAGCUUCCUGGAGCCUAGAGCCAACUUUCUGUGGUCACAUACUUAGAGGAUGCAAUCCCUGGAGUCACACUUCUCUGUGUUAGACGUCCACAGCAGUGGCCUGUCAAGGAUCAGUAGAAGGAAGGAUUAUGACAAAGCUAGGCAUGGUGGCACACAUCUCAGCAG